AUGGAAUCAAGUUCUACUGGUCUUCUAACCAUGUUCUCCUAACACCAGGAAAUGCAGAGGGCUUGCUUCUCCCAAAAUACUUUCUAAAAGUCCUGCAGCUCAGACCUCAAAGGCAACUUCUUCCCCUCAAAUGAUAUAUGACGAAAUGCACUUUCUAAAAAUCAGUCGGCAGAGUGAAUGCAUUAAACCAGGUGUUAUUUAAUUUGAUAAAAAGCCAAAAUAAUAAAAAAAA
Non-coding RNA from Pelobates cultripes (western spadefoot toad), 232 nucleotides. NCBI's taxonomy places the organism in Eukaryota, Metazoa, Chordata, Amphibia, Anura, Pelobatidae. The record is from the annotation of a GenBank genome assembly.